Molecule: microRNA precursor, 123 nt
Filed under: Hordeum vulgare
Lineage: Eukaryota; Viridiplantae; Streptophyta; Magnoliopsida; Poales; Poaceae
Description: microRNA MIR1122
Rfam family: MIR1120/MIR1122 microRNA precursor family
Source: RNAcentral
AGAGUACUCCCUCCGUCCGAAAAUACUUGUCCUAAGAUUACUGUAUCUAGACUUAUUUUAGUUAUAAAUACAUUCAUUAUAUCCAUUUCUAUGACAAGUAUUUUCGAACGGAGGAAGUAUGAG